UACAGAGACCUCAAGCGUUAUCCGGAAUUAUUGGGCGUAAAGCGUGCCGAUAGGUUGUUUUGAAAGUUUUGGGUAAAAGCCAGAAGCUCAACUUCUGCGUUUGCUCAAAAUACUGCAAGACUAGAGGGGCAAAGAGGUGCUUGGAACGAAUGGUGUAGUAGUGAAAUGCGUUGAUAUCAUUCGGAACACCGAAAGCGAAGGCAGAGCACUGGGUGCCACCUGACACUGCUAGGACGAGAGCGUGGGUAGCGAAUGGG
RNAcentral lists this ribosomal RNA (257 nucleotides) under uncultured bacterium. RNAcentral's name for it is "partial 16S ribosomal RNA". It matches the Rfam family "Bacterial small subunit ribosomal RNA", at positions 524 to 776 of the family's 1533-position model. The record is from RNAcentral.